This 468-nucleotide ribosomal RNA is filed under the name uncultured bacterium. Its description in RNAcentral is "partial 16S ribosomal RNA". It matches the Rfam family "Bacterial small subunit ribosomal RNA", at positions 28 to 507 of the family's 1533-position model. The record is from RNAcentral.
GACGAACGCUGGCGGCGUGCUUAACACAUGCAAGUCGAACGGAAAGGCCCUGCUUUUGUGGGGUGCUCGAGUGGCGAACGGGUGAGUAACACGUGAGUAACCUGCCCUUGACUUUGGGAUAACUUCAGGAAACUGGGGCUAAUACCGGAUAGGAGCUCCUGCUGCAUGGUGGGGGUUGGAAAGUUUCGGCGGUUGGGGAUGGACUCGCGGCUUAUCAGCUUGUUGGUGGGGUAGUGGCUUACCAAGGCUUUGACGGGUAGCCGGCCUGAGAGGGUGACCGGCUAAACUGGGACUGAGAUACGGCCCAGACUCCUACGGGAGGCAGCAGUGGGGAAUAUUGCAAAAGGGGCGGAAGCAUGAUGCAGCAACGCAGAGUGCGGGAUGACGGCCUUCGGGUUGUAAACCGAUUUCGCCUGUGACGAAGCGUGAGUGACGGUAAUGGGUAAAGAAGCACCGGCUAACUACGUG